AUGGGUGCACCUCCGGCCGUCAUGGCUUCUCACACACAUUCCCAUGAAGAUGCCGUUGAAGAUCUUGCCAACAUCGUCGGAGCUUCACAUGAUGCGGUGCGUGAUGAGGAGAGGGAGGAAGAUUCAUCUUCGGAGGCGGAAGAGUCGUCUUCGGAAGAUGAGGACGAAGACGAAGAAGAGGAAGAUGAAGAUUGA
Molecule: ribosomal RNA, 195 nt
Filed under: Triticum aestivum (bread wheat)
Lineage: Eukaryota; Viridiplantae; Streptophyta; Magnoliopsida; Poales; Poaceae
Description: partial small subunit ribosomal RNA
Source: RNAcentral